GCGGGGAUGCCGGAGCGGUCAAACGGGACAGACUCAAAAUCUGUUGGCUUAGUGCCUUCGAGAGUUCGAAUCUUUCUCCCCGCA
RNAcentral lists this transfer RNA (84 nucleotides) under Nanobdellota archaeon. Its description in RNAcentral is "tRNA-Leu". It matches the Rfam family "tRNA". Rfam says of the family: Transfer RNA (tRNA) molecules are approximately 80 nucleotides in length. Lineage: Archaea; Nanobdellati; Nanobdellota. The record is from RNAcentral.